RNAcentral lists this long non-coding RNA (1371 nucleotides) under Oryza sativa aus subgroup. Its description in RNAcentral is "lncRNA OsNaBo_02g0012210". The record is from RNAcentral. Lineage: Eukaryota; Viridiplantae; Streptophyta; Magnoliopsida; Poales; Poaceae.
AUGAGACGACUAGUUGCCUCACAGGAGCUAUUGCUGGUUCUGCUGAUUUCGCUGCAGUGUCUUUCCUGCCUUGCAAUUGCAAAUCCUGCGUUGGAUCGCCAAGCUGAAGCACUUCUCCAAUGGAAAUCUGGUCUAAGGGGCGAUCUCUCCUACUGCGGGCUAGAGGAAUGGAGCAACGCAACCAGCCCAUGCAACUGGUCAGGCAUAUACUGCAGCUACAAGGUGCGCCGUGGCCAUGAGCGUGAUGCCAUCCUAGUUGUGACAUACAUUACACUUUUCUCAUGUAACAUCUCCGGUGGUUUGAGCAAGCUCCGAUUUGCACAAUUGCCUCAUCUUGUCUUUCUCGACCUUAGCAUUAACUCUCUCUAUGGACCAAUUCCGUCUGAUAUUGGUCGUCUUGCUGAGCUCUCUUACUUGGAUCUCUCUAACAAUAAGCUCACUGGAUCCAUCCCGCCAUCGAUAGGUAAUCUUACGAACCUAGGAUUCCUUGAGCUUUCUAACAAUUAUUUGUCACAAGGGAUACUCAGUUGCUUGCCUGACACAUUACAUAACUUGCAGUACCUUGAUUUAAGCCACAACAGCUUAACUGGCCCAAUACCUUCCAAAUUGUAUCUCUCCAUAAAUGAAAUCACGGGUUUCAUUCCUGAAAGUAUAGGAAAUUUAAGGAGUUUAAUAAAAUUGUAUCUCUCCACAAAUGAAAUCACGGGUUCCAUUCCUGAAAGUAUAGGAAAUCUAACGAGCUUACAAAACAUGGAUCUUUCCAACAACCGAAUCAUUGGCCCCAUCCCUUCAACCUUUUCGAAACUUAUAUCUUUAAUAACACUGAAACUUGAGUCCAAUGUGCUAAAUGAUAUACUGCCACCAGAACUAGGAUUUCUACGUAAUCUUUUUGUUCUAGAUCUAAGCAGCAAUCAGUUUACGGGAAGCAUUCCACCUCAGAUAGGACAGUUUCACCAUUUGUCCUUGUUGCGCCUGCGAAACAACUUACUGACAGGACCAAUACCAGAAGAGCUUGGGUAUUGUACCGACCUAACUGAGUUGGAUUUGAGCAGAAAUAAUUUAAGUGGUGCCAUACCAAUGACUUUCAUGAUGCUUUACCGAUUACUUGAGCUGAAUUUAUCAUACAACAGUUUGGGCGGCAGAUUUUUUGGUUUCUACACAACUGAAGCCUCUUCUGUAGUUUCACUAGACCAUAAUACAGGUAUCUGUGGUGAUCCAUUAUAUGGCUUGACACCGUGUCAACCAUCAAAUCCAAAUCCUGACAGUUUACAUACAAAUGAAAAUUCCGACAGUAAACAUCUUGUUCCGAGGCUACUUCUUGCCUUUGCAAUGUUUUCUUGCAUCUGGCUCGUGGGUGGAAGCAUCACAGUG